GACGAAGGGGGCUAGCGUUGUUCGGAAUUACUGGGCGUAAAGCGCGUGUAGGCGGUUGUCUAAGUUGGAUGUGAAAGCCUUGAGCUUAACUCAAGAAAUGCAUUCAGGACUGGAUGACUAGAGGACCGGAGAGGAUAGUGGAAUUCCCAGUGUAGUGGUGAAAUACGUAGAGAUUGGGAAGAACACCAGUGGCGAAGGCGGCUAUCUGGACGGUUUCUGACGCUAAGACGCGAAAGCGUGGGGAGCAAACAGG
RNAcentral lists this ribosomal RNA (253 nucleotides) under uncultured bacterium. RNAcentral's name for it is "partial 16S ribosomal RNA". It matches the Rfam family "Bacterial small subunit ribosomal RNA", at positions 524 to 776 of the family's 1533-position model. The record is from RNAcentral.